Tupaia belangeri (northern tree shrew) is the source of this 109-nucleotide small nuclear RNA. The record is from Ensembl. NCBI's taxonomy places the organism in Eukaryota, Metazoa, Chordata, Mammalia, Scandentia, Tupaiidae.
GUGCUCGCUUCGGCAGCACAUAUACUAAAGACUUGGAACGAUACAGAGAAGAUCAGCAUGGCCCCUGUGCAAGGAUGAUGCGCGAAUUCGUGAAGCGUUCCAUAUUUAA